This 2072-nucleotide long non-coding RNA is filed under the name Homo sapiens (human). RNAcentral's name for it is "HSALNT0344580". The record is from RNAcentral. Lineage: Eukaryota; Metazoa; Chordata; Mammalia; Primates; Hominidae.
GUCUUGCUUUGUUGCCCAGGCUGGAGUGCAGUGGCACGAUUUUGGCUCACUGCAACCUCCACCUCCUGGGUUCAAGCAGUUCUCCUGCCUCAGCCUCCCAAGUAGCUGGGAUUAUAGGCGCACGCCACCACUUGUGGCUGAACACACACACACACACUUUUUUUUUUUUUUUUAGUAGAGACAGGGUUUCACCAUGUUGGCCAGGCUGGUCUCGAACUCCUGACCUUGUGAUCCACCCGCCUCAGCCUCCCAAAAUGCUGGGAUUACAGGUGUGAGCCACUGUGUCCAGUCCAUCUCUCUUUUUAUUGGAAACAUAUGCCCUGUCACUUUGUUCCCAGAAAUAAACCGUGAAGUGUCACAGAGAAAAUAUAAAUUCUCCCACCCAAUAUCCAGUCUGGUUGAAUUUAUUCAUUCCAGGAUAUCUGAGUCCCCUGCCAUGCAAACUCAUAGCCUCGUGUGGUAUAUUCCACCUUUCCAGAGGGCAUAAGUGCUCACCUGUGUCCUGUUCAUUCUGGGCACUGAAUUGUGUGCCAUUGGUCACAUGAUAUCACCCAGUCCAGAGGCUUCCCUGUAAAUACUUGAAAUGGCUCCUUAAUAGAGAACUUAAGAGAGGCGUCAGUGAUGCUCCAAAUGAGACGUGAGACCCAGCUGAGGCCUGAGACAUGAAUGAGACAUGACGGGGAUUUAUCUAAUUUAGUUAGCACAUCAUCAGAGAUCUGCGGAGGCCUCUCCUGCGGGCACCCGUGCCUGGCCCAGCGGCACCUCUCCCUGCGGAGGCCUCUCCUGCGGGCACCCGUGCCUGGCCCAGCGGCACCGCUCCCUGCGGAGGCCUCCCCUGCGCGCACCCUCGCCUGAUCCAGCGGUACCUCUCCCUGCGGAGGCCUCUCCUGCGCGCACCCUCGCCUGAUCCAGCGGUACCUCUCCCUGCGGAGGCCUCUCCUGCGGGCACCCUCGCCUGAUCCAGCGGUACCUCUCCCUGCGGAGGCCUCCCCUGCGCGCACCCUCGCCUGAUCCAGCGGUACCUCUCCCUGCGGAGGCCUCCCCUGCGCGCACCCUCGCCUGAUCCAGCGGUACCUCUCCCUGCGGAGGCCUCCCCUGCGCGCACCCUCGCCUGAUCCAGCGGUACCUCUCCCUGCGGAGGCCUCCCCUGCGCGCACCCUCGCCUGAUCCAGCGGUACCUCUCCCUGCGGAGGCCUCUCCUGCGCGCACCCUCGCCUGAUCCAGCGGUACCUCUCCCUGCGGAGGCCUCUCCUGCGGGCAGCCGUGCCUGGCCCAGCGGCAUCUCUCCCUGGCGUCAGCAGCUUUCCUCUCCGUUCCCCUCCGCCCCGUGGUGUCGUCACUUCUCGGCUGCUCACGCUGCGACGUUGUUUUGUUGGGUCGGAUCUCUGCAUCGGUCUGGGCAUGGGUAACUACUCAGGAUUAAUGUCAGAAGUUGAGUUUUUGUUGGUGACACUGACAAGCUUUGUUUCCCUCCCUGUGCUCCACACGGGCUCUGGUCCUCUAACACAAUCUUCCUGGGUCCCGUGCUCUGCAGGGCCAGGUCAGAUGAUUUCCUGAGCAGUGCGUAUGUCCUGUGAUGUCCUGUGUUGCUGGAAUGGAGUGGAUUCUUCUCUCUCAGUGAGGAAUAGCUUUCUGAUUGUGAUCUCAGUGGAAGUCACGUGCUGUACCCACCACUGGGCAGACCUUGCUGGCCACGGCCUCCACGUGCAGUGACCGUUCUCUUGGCAGCGUCUCAGGCUGUCUGGACCAGCUGUCACAGUCUCGCUGUGGGUGAGUCACCUGAGGCACUGUAUGGCGGAUAGAAGGAUUCAUUGCCCUGGGAGGUUUUGCCUGGCAUUCUGCAGAAGCAUUGCUGUAUCUUACCAGACAGGAAUACAGGCAAUGCUGUGAAGCGUCAGAGGGAAUUCCGUUGGUUACUUUCCCAUACGGUCUUGUUCAGCUGCUUGUUCUCAGAAAAGUGUGUUUGUUGGUGGAGGAGAAUGCGACCAAGGAGACCAUCCUUUUCAUGAAGGCACAAACGUGAAUACAUAUGUGACUUUUAAGCCUUUAAAUAAAAACCCAAAGCACAUUUA